Salvia splendens (bonfire salvia) is the source of this 1857-nucleotide long non-coding RNA. RefSeq lists it as uncharacterized. The record is from RefSeq and is a predicted model, not a curated record. NCBI's taxonomy places the organism in Eukaryota, Viridiplantae, Streptophyta, Magnoliopsida, Lamiales, Lamiaceae. The transcript has 2 exons.
CAGCGUUUGCCGUCUUCUUCGAGGUCUUCGGACUUUUGCCAAAAUCCUCGGAGCUUCUCUCUCAUUCUGAUUGGCAGGCACUUCCUCCUAUCUCUUUUCCCCAAUUUUGAUCCUGUUAUUAAUUAUAAAGUUUUCUAUUUCUAGCAAUUGAGCAAACUUCUGGUAAUUUUAGCUGGUAGUCUGAUGUUUCCCUAUUUGGGGACAAGCAUAAUCCAGGAUAGAAUGUGAAGCCAUGUAGCAAGUGAUAACUGAAAGAAGCACUGUUCCGUUGUUGUCCAUAUAAAGUAUUUUGUAUAUCUUCUAUAUCUUGGGGUGGGUUUUGGAAAUAUAAAGUAGUAGAAGAUUUCACAAUUGCUGACGGGAAAGGCCUCUAAAGUGCACAGCACCAUGCUGCACUGAAACAAGGAUCUUUUAUAUGCUGGGAUUUAUGCUAUUCGUUUAUAACCUCAUAUUGUCUACUCUCUCUCUCUCUCUGAGCUGUGUGAAUUUUCUAGCAGUGUAAUCUGAUUUUGAAGUUAUGCCUUUAGAAAAAUACUAAGUACUUUCACAUGUUGUCAAGGGGAGUUGAGCGGGAUGGUUGGAAAUUUGUUCUUGUUGCUCGAUUCUCACUAUUACCUGCCUCCUAUGUUAUAAACUAUGCAUUGGCUGCUACUAAUGUUGGGUUUCAAGUUGAUUUCUUGCAUCCAACAGUCAUUAGGUGCAUGCCCUUGAUCUUGCAUUUGGCAGACUGGCGAGUGCUGUGGUAGAUCCAGCAAUCUGAGGUUUGGUCAUAUUUAUUUCCUCUUCUUGGGAUCUCAUCAAGCGUUCUUAUAUCCUUGAGGAUAAAAAAGUAUUCGACUGAUAUCAUAACUAAUCUUCUGAUGCCCAGGCAUCAAGUCAAGAGCCAGUCAAUAGGAAAAGUAAAUGUGAUAAUCAUAUAAGCUAGAGAGCUCUAACUUAACCAAAACCAUGGUCACAGGCUUCCUCACAACGAAAUCGAUGGGUUUGUUUCCCUACUUUUUUGGAGAAGCUUCUAAGCAAUUAGAAGAAGAAAAAAUAUGUGACCCUUUAACUGAAAUCCACUUGAUGUAUGCCAUCAGAGAGUUUCAUCCUAUUUGUUCAGCUCUGUUAUAAACAAGCAGAUGCAUUUAGCUUUCUUUAUGGUGCAUUUGUCAUUGAAGUUGACAUUUUUAGGUUUUGUAUUUGUACUUGUGAAAUGUGUUAAUUUAAAGAAAUACUAUAUAGAAGAUGUGUUCUGGAGCAUCCUUGUCUUGUUUCUUCCUCUUGCGUAAUUUUGUGCAUAGGAUGCAAGCUAAUCAUUGUUCUUGAUGUUGGUUGUAUCUUUAUGUAUAUUUGUAGCUAUCUGGGUUGAGUUUCUUCUUAAGGGUUUGUUCUUCAGAGUUUCUAUUCGCAUGACUAGUGCCCCACCCUACAUCUGAUGCUCUAGUGCUGUGUUUGCUACAUUUCAGUAAAGAGUGAUUCUGAUUGUUGCAGCUUUAAUUUUAAGAAACGAGGUUCCUUUUAGUUUUAGCUUUACAUCUUCUGGAAUACAUAUGUUUGUAUACUUGGGUCACAUUCAGGGGUCUCAAAAGACUGAAAAAAAGGUGGGAUAAGUGUGUUUUAGUUUUUCCUUUUGGUUGGAAAGGAAACCCUUGGUUUAUUAGUUGGAGGGGAACAUUUUACCAAUUAAAAUGCGUUGUUUCAUCGUAACUAAGUGUGUGUUGUGCUCUUAUAAUGCAGCUUCAUCCUAUCAUUCUUUCCAGUUUCAGCUGAAUUUCUAGUGUUGAUAUGGAAAAUUCCUUUUUACAUGUAUAUACGUAUACCACUUCUCACAUAAGAAUGAUUUAUUCAUUCUAAUAAUAUUAAUAAAUUUUAACA